Molecule: unclassified non-coding RNA, 732 nt
Filed under: Zea mays
Lineage: Eukaryota; Viridiplantae; Streptophyta; Magnoliopsida; Poales; Poaceae
Description: misc RNA Zm00001eb080330
Source: RNAcentral
ACGCGACCUGAUUGACCUCGAAAAGCCUUCUGCUGCUGUCGGAGGGACGCAUAUCCUGCGGCGAUGCCGACAUGACCUUAAUAAUUGGGAAGCCAUGCAAGGGCUGCAGAAUAAGGACAUGUACCCGUGGCAAAAAGGAAGCUUCUCCUGCUCUUCCUCGGCAAGGAAAAGAGGGGAAGGUGGCACUGCAGAUUCUGAACAGGAAUCAACCGCACGGCUCGGCUUUGUAUGUUACUACUUUUUCUGGGCUCUGUGUGCUGCUGCUGAGACCAUGUUCUCGAGGAUCAAAUCACAGGCUCAGAGGUGGAACAGGCGAACUGAUUUGUAGCUUUCACCCUUUUAUUCCUAGUGCAUGUAUCUUAUGACUGCUAGAUGAAGAUUUUACUUGUCUUUGAAGACAGAUGUCAGUGUGCUGCAAUCUUCGUAUGAUACUAUUCUGCACUAGUUCUCAGAGCAGAUGGAUGACACAUGGCCACCAAGAUUGCUUGAAGCAAUUGCCUGCGAAUUGUGAGCUACUGUGAACGAGUCAUAUGGCAACAAGUGGUGAACUUUAUAAAUGAUGUUACUUCUACGCUCGACGUUCGGAUUAAAGACAUACAGCUAUUCAGACUGUUGCAGCUGUAAUUUAUAGAGACAAUAUAUUGUAGAAGCAGUAAGAGCCAGUACAGAUUAAAGCCAAACGAACAUACUAAAUGUAUUUGAAUAACUACUAAAUAGUACUCUUUCCAUAGU